GGACUACUGGGGUUUCUAAUCCUGUUCGCUCCCCACGCUGUCGCGCCUCAGUGUCAGUAUCGAGCCAGGAAGUCGCCUUCGCCACCGAUGUUCCUUCCGAUAUCUACGCAUUUCACCGCUACACCGGAAAUUCCACUUCCCUCUCUCGAACUCUAGCCUCCCAGUCUUAUAUGCAAUUCCUAGGUUAAGCCCAGGGAUUUCACAUAUAACUUAAAAAACCACCUACGCGCCCUUUACGCCCAAUAAUUCCGAUUAACGCUCGCACCCUCUGUAUUACCGCGGCUGCUGGCAC
RNAcentral lists this ribosomal RNA (292 nucleotides) under uncultured bacterium. RNAcentral's name for it is "partial 16S ribosomal RNA". The record is from RNAcentral.